This 218-nucleotide ribosomal RNA is filed under the name uncultured bacterium. Its description in RNAcentral is "partial 16S ribosomal RNA". It matches the Rfam family "Bacterial small subunit ribosomal RNA", at positions 583 to 793 of the family's 1533-position model. The record is from RNAcentral.
UUAAGUCAGAUGUGAAAGACCCGGGGCGUUAACCUCGGAAUUGCAUUUGUAAACUAGGCAGGCUAGAGUCUUGUAGAGGGGGGUAGGAAGUUUCAGGUGUAGCGGUGAAAUGCGUAGAGAUCUGAAGGAAUACCAGUGGCGAAGGCGGCCCCCUCGGACAAAGACUGACGCUCAGAUGCGAAAGCGUGGGGAGCAAACAGGAUUAGAUACCCUGGUAG